Pelmatolapia mariae (spotted tilapia) is the source of this 825-nucleotide RNA transcript. RefSeq lists it as uncharacterized. The record is from RefSeq and is a predicted model, not a curated record. The transcript is spliced from 3 exons. Lineage: Eukaryota; Metazoa; Chordata; Actinopteri; Cichliformes; Cichlidae.
CGGAGCCAGCGUUCAGUCGUUGCUAGCAACAAAAUCAGUUACUUUGUGCGUUAAUUAGUGGCUUUACCUGUUCGAGGAUGAGCUUGGGUUCAACGUGUGCUGUUGUCGGCUGCCACAAUAAUUCAAGAAAACUGAAAAACGCAUUAGAAACAUUUUGCCUUGAGCAUCAACAACUUAGAAAGGCCUGUCCGUGCCCACCGCCCUACGCACUGCACUCUAUGCCGCGGAAGGAGGAUCGGAAACUAGCGUGGCUGGCAGCUUUAAGACUCAAACACCCUCCAAAGAGAGUUUAUGUUUGCUCCUUUCAUUUUAUCGACAAAAAGCCCACAGAGCUACACCCCGACCCGGAGCUUUAUCUGGGCUAUGACCGACCCCCACCAAAGAAAAGAAGAAAGCUCACUCGGACCACUUUGAGUGUGACAGCUUCCAGUGAUACGAACAACACAGAAUCUGUACCCGACUCCACAGUGUUACGUUCAGUGGAAUUAGACCAGGCCAGCAUCUCCACACAACCCCCUGAGCCACAUCUGCACUCAGUCCACACACAGUGGGAGGAUCCUUCGCAACAAGACCAUCAAUACUGCAACAGGUGCAGAAUGCUGUGAUCAGUGGAAAGACCGGGCUUGCGUGUACAGACGAGCAGCGCAGGUGGAAUGCAGGGACAGCAAAGAACCUUGAACCUAAACCUGUUGCACCAUGUGGACUAAUCAUGUUUGUGUCUGCGGCAUAUGGCGGCCGAUGUAGUGACAAAUUUAUCACAAUGGACUCUGGAAUAUUAACAUACCUAAAACCUGGUGAUGAAGUCAUGGCAGAUAGAGGUUUUAC